GGACCUCUAUUGAAGGGUCAAAUCCAAAUACAAUGCCCAUUUCAUUUAGAUUUGUUAUGAAGACGAAGAGCAGCAAGCAUAACCAGCAAGAUAAAAGCUAUUGAACCAAGCAAAGAGAGGACAAUGGCAACUGCUACUUGAUCGCAGAAUUUCCCAAACACGUUGCACGCUUUGCCCCAUCUCAACCGUGAAUUCCCUUCGUAACCCAUAAGUCCAAUAGCUCCCGUUGCUCCGAUGCCAAAAAAAUCUGUGUGGAAAAAUGGCCAUUCUUCCCCUUCUCUUCCUCCUCCUUUCCCUUUUUAUUCAAUUCCAUUCUCUUCAUUCACUCCUAGUUCUGGUCCCAACAUCACUUUGUCCCGUUAACCAUCCUUAAAAACACCCCAAUCACCAUCACCAUGCCAUUUUCUCAAAUGGCAUGAAAGGUUGAUGAGGAUGAAGUUUAUUGGAGAUCAGAGAAGAGCAAUGAAGAGUUGGAAUGGUCUUACAAUUCCACUCAUGUAAUUUCACAGCUAACUCAAUGUUUUACUAAUGCUAUGGUCGGACCACGAGCAUGGCUAGCAGGGCUCUUCAAUCGCUCAGCUAAUAAACGCACUGAGAAAUCUCUUGACAAACCUUUGACUCCUUUUCAGGAACAGAGACUUAAAAAGCUUCAAGAGCGGUUGCAAACACCAUUUGAUGAGACUCGUCCUGAUCAUCAAGAAGCUCUUAGAUCGUUGUGGAAUGCAGCCUUUCCAGAUUUUGCUCUGGCAGGCUUGAUCUCUGAGCAAUGGAAAGAGAUGGGGUGGCAAGGUCCCAAUCCAUCAACUGACUUUAGGGGUUGUGGUUUUAUUGCUCUAGAAAACUUGCUGUUUUUUGCCAGGACUUAUCCGGUAUGCCUUCGUGACUCUUUCAAGUAUUUGUGCAACUAUUUCCUUAAUUAUUUAUUCCUUUAUUUGGAACCGAUUUUGUGAUUUUCUUUUUCUAGAUCCUCUAAUGCCUGAAUUUGCGCAGAAAGUGUGUUAUGAUUAUUACUGAUUGUAUGAAAAUACAAAAUGAAGGUAUCUUUUCGUAGGUUAUUGUUCAAGCAGGGUGGGAAGCGAGCAACUUGGGAAUAUCCAUUUGCUGUUGCUGGCAUUAAUGUUUCAUUUAUGUUGAUCCAGAUGUUGGAUUUACAGUCAGAAAAACCAAAAUGUCUUCCAGGAAAGAAUUUUGUUAGAUUACUGGGAGAAGAUGAAGCUGCUUUUGAUGUACUGUUCUGCGCAGCUUUUGAAUUGAUGGAUGCUCAGUGGCUUGCUAUGCAGGCUUCUUAUAUGGAGUUUAAUGAGGUGUUGAAAGUAACAAGGGAACAAUUGGAGAGGGAGUUGUCUUUAGAAGAUGUUCAUAGAAUAAAAGAUUUGCCAGCAUACAAUCUGUUGUAUCAAUAGCAUGUUGUUAUUAUUAUUAUCAUAAUCAUUAUUAUUUAUUAUUAGAACUAUCAACCACUACUGAACAUCAAGACAUAUUUGCUCCAACUGAGAUGAUAAUUUGCUGUAGAGAUCUAUUCUGGAGUUGCACAUGUAAUUACUGAUCUGUACAAGCCAUUUUUGGUGAUUUUAUAGCUGAGCUUUGUACACUGCAAUGGAGUUGACACAUACUAAUGUUGAAGGAAAC
This 1629-nucleotide unclassified non-coding RNA is filed under the name Hevea brasiliensis (rubber tree). Lineage: Eukaryota; Viridiplantae; Streptophyta; Magnoliopsida; Malpighiales; Euphorbiaceae. The record is from RNAcentral.